GCUGGUAGCCCCGCCCCUCCGGGGACGGAGGCUGGGUCAGCUGGGAGAGGGGCAGGGGUGUGUCUACAGUGACCACUGCCAGAGCUUCUGCUGAAAGCACUGUUCUGAGGGCCCAUCCUACCCAAGAGGAAGGGCACUGGAGGUGACCACAGGAGCCUGGGCAGGGGUCUUUGCUGCUCAUGCAGUUUCCUGGCCAUGUUGGUUGGUUUCUCAAGUACAUGAGGGUUCACCGCCUUAGAGAAGGGGAAUGAACUGAGGUACUUUCUGAUCUUCCUCUAAAGGAAAGAAAAAAAAAUGAAGAAAAUGCUCGCCUCUCAGGAGUUGGAUACUGAAUCUUUCUGCUGAGUUAGUGAAAGGGGAACAGAGUUCUGAUUUCUAAGGAAACGUUAUGAAAAUAUUCCGCUCACUCUUUCAUUUUUAAUAUGAACUCAAUUUCAUCUAGACUACCAAGAAAAAUUCGUCAUUAGUGAAACUUCAAAAAGGUCUUGCGAUGACAGGUCUAGAAAUUUUCUUUCACAUUCGUGUUUCAAAAUUGGGCGGGUUAAACGGAGAAAAAAGAAGCAAGUUCGCCAAAUCAUCUAAUUGCACAUAUGAUUUUGAUCUCACAGACACCCCCACUGUUUUCCGAGGUCUCUCAGCUUGGUGUCAUUGAUGGAGCAUGCUGUGAACCCUGUCCAUAAAUUAAGAUGUGGAUAUGACAGUGAUCCAAAGGCCCAGCACAAUUUGCAACCUGAUAAAGCAGCAAGUGACCAUUUCUGGGGAGGACGGGCAACAGGCUUCCAUUCUACCUAGGCUGCAGUGCUCCAGGGGAAUGAAGCCAUUAUUCAUACAGAG
RNAcentral lists this long non-coding RNA (834 nucleotides) under Heterocephalus glaber (naked mole-rat). RNAcentral describes it as "lncRNA (ENSHGLG00000045753.1)". Lineage: Eukaryota; Metazoa; Chordata; Mammalia; Rodentia; Bathyergidae. The record is from RNAcentral.